AUUAAGGAGCCUGUGCAUGCCUCAUCAAAAGUGAACUUCAUUAGUUCCCACCAAUAGAGCAGGCGAGUCGGUAGAGCAUAUAAUUGGCAGUUUUCUCUCGUUUCUUCCAAAUUUUGCAUCAUCAGAGUCACCACUACCACUUCAGUGGAAUCCGCUCUCCUAAAACCUCAACCCCAUGUCUCUGUUCAAGCCGUAAUCCUCCAUAUUACGAUUCAAGAUUUUCAUAAACUCAUAUUUCCCUAAAGACAACUGCAGAAUUAACUAGAAGGCUGUUUUGCUUAUCAAGAAAGCGUGAAUUCCUGAUAGAGGGUUUCUGUCGUUAAAUUGUUUUCCCAAGGACUCGGUAAAUGAUCAGGCCGCAUGGACAGAAUCGGAAUCCUUCUGUUCAUGACUGUGACCUUGAUAGUAGUGAGUCGAAUUGGCUACUUUAUUCCCUUACCGAGAUCUGGUAGGAGGUUGAUGCCAAAAAAUCUGUUGGUGAGUAAAUUUCCAUUAUUUUCUUGUAUUCUUUCCGAGGUUGAUUUGGGUACUCCAUUAGUAGGGAAUUGGCAGAGAAUUAAUUCUUGUUUUUAUUGAGGUUUAAUGUUUCUUGGGUGUUGGGCUUUAAUUUGUUUUCCUAUAUAUUAAUUAUAUAUCAUCAUCUUGUUUGUUACUCUCCAAAAUUGAAUGUUGGAGCCUUGUUUUUGAAUAAUUCCUGCAUUGCCUUUGCAUGGUUUCAUUGAAUUCUUGCAGUUGUUGAAUCGAGACUAGUCUAAGUUACUGGAAAUAUUGCAGAAUGGUUUCUCUUUGGUUGGAAUUUUUUUCUAAGCAGCUUCAGCAUUGGUUAAUGUGUGUCAGUAGUUGACAAAGUAUGGCAAUCAUUUUUUGGCCAUUGACGAGCCGAAUACGAACCAUUGUUUCAUGUAUGUUUUUCUGAUCGGCUGUUCCACAUGAAAUGUGUCUUGUUUUUUCCUGCAUUAUAUCCUUUAUCAAUCUUGGAUAUCUAUUUCAUCAUUUCUUUCAUUAACUUCUCCAGCUUGAAUUGCCUUGUGAAGUACGUUCCUAUUCUUUUCUCUUCAAACACAAGCUGCUCAUAAACAAUUCAGUCAGUUUGUAUAAUUCACCAUAUACGAAUGUGCUUGGUGAUUUGAUGCCAGACUUAAGCUUUAUGUUAUUCGGCUUGGGAUCAGUUCUCAGGUAGCAACAUCAAUCCUCAUUAAUGUUGAUGCUGAUUUCUUUAAGUGGAAGGCUCUGAAUGGGUUCUCUCAAUCAGACAAUGGAGCUAAAUCUGGUUCUUCCCCAGAUGUAGUGAUUUCUAACUUGGAUGGCUAGGUUGAACGGUGGCACACCAGGACUUGGUGGUAAUUUGCAGAAAUCCUUGUCCAGCCAACAUGUAUUCUUUUUCAGUUUCGGAAGGAGGUCUAAUUUGGCCUGCCCCUGAAGGGAUUUUUCUUUGGCCACAAAACAGAAAUUGGUAAUACUAUGUAUGUUAUAUGCUGGACAGAACAUGUCAUGCUGACAACUUCAUUCAUGGUGUGCGGUGACAAUGACUUGGAUUCGUGACAAGGCUGACAUUGGAUCAAAGAAUUGCCUUCCGAAGCGUGGCUAAAGGUGACUUCGAUCGCCGUGCAAUGGAAGCGGCAUACUAGACAAUACUUAACGUUGUUGAAGAAAGUUUGCGGUGCUAGGUCCGGAUUGUCUCAUGUUCAAAUGAUUCUAAGUAUGAGCCUCAUCAAGGGUGUUGGAGGCCAUUUGCGUACAUCUAAUGUAAAAACAAGUUCUUGCCCAUGUGAAUAAGAACGUCUUGUUUCUAGUA
This is a non-coding RNA of Sesamum indicum (sesame), 1795 nucleotides long. The record is from RefSeq and is a predicted model, not a curated record. NCBI's taxonomy places the organism in Eukaryota, Viridiplantae, Streptophyta, Magnoliopsida, Lamiales, Pedaliaceae.